UGUACUGCAGAAUGAAGGCAAUGUGUGUAAUAUCCAAAUUAAUGUACGUUUACUUUGCUAUCCUCUGCAAAUGGCGAGAAGAAUCGUGUCUACUCUGUUCUUGCCAGAAUGAUGAUACAAACACCAAUUAUAUGAACCUACAGAUGAAUCUACAGGACCCCCAAACAAAACCUUUCCAAGCUAUCAAAGUAAUGCCCAAGUAAGGAAACCUCUACCAGCAAUCACCUACUCUCCAGGACGCAGUAGAAAACAUUGCAGGAUAUUAGAGAAAUGAGGGAAAACACAAUGGGAGAAAAGUUUGCACCCACGAUGAACAAAGGUCCUUUCGAUGGGGUGGAUUCACUGCCCCCGUCCUCCUUUUGCAUGUGGGAGAAGAAAAGAAGAAGAGUGUGGGGACAGGAUGUACGUGCACUCUUGUCUCCGUCAUUAUACCUAUUUUGGAAUCCAUGGCAGCAUGUUGUGCUUUGUCGGCACAUUCGUGCAUGUCUGAGGUCGCAGAUGAAGAAGCACCGAAUGAUCAUUAUAUUCUCCUCUGCUCUUAUCUUCUAUUGACAUAUGUAUGAUGUACCAUAUUUCCUGGCAUCCAACACAUCGGCGGUUUCAAGGCCGGUCCUGGGCGGCGCCUCGUCAGCGUCGUGGAUGGCUUGGGCAGCGCCUUGGCAUUCCAGAGGGGCAAAGUGGGCCGGCCAGCAUGCGUGGGGCGCAAAGGUGACGAGCAGGAGGGAGAUGCCCUGGAGGUGAUGGAGGAGGAAGUCGGAGGUGGCAUCAGCGUCCAUGGCGACGCCACCCCGGGAACCCUCCUGCACACCUCGGCAUGGCUCGUCUGUGCCACAUGGUGGCCAAGAUGCUAGUACCUCCUCUCUCUGGCUUCUCUCUUAUUUGCCCCUUUUUCUCGGGGAUGAGGGCGUCGGUGCAUCAUCAGGAGUGGAUCAAGAGCGGACCGUAGCAGCAGGAGCAAGGAUCUGGUGGUGGUUCAUGAUAUUGGACUGCAUUACUAAAUGUUCUAGGGUUGGAGAGAGCUUAGGUGAGUGCUCAAGUUCUAUGUGGAUAACAAUAACAAAAAAUAUAUAGAAAUCCAAAUCUCUAAAAAACUGACGGAAUCAUGUAUAUAUAUAUAUAUUUUCUAGGAUGUACUCUUUCUGAUUCCUAUUGUGAGAUGUUCGUUUGUAUGUUAUUUUCUUCCUUUUGUAAUUUGUUUUCUUUCUUUGGUGCUGCUUGAAGUGAUAUUUUGAUAUUCAUUUUUUUCUGAAAUUACAAGUCAGUCGCUUUUAUUUUUGAGUAUACAUAUUAACUGAUGCACAACUGGAUGCCAUUUUAUCCUGUGUGGCAUAAUGAUGGUAGUGAUUUGAAGCCAACCCAGAACUAUUAGUGAUCUUGACAAGUGGUGCUCUAAUAUUCAGUUGUUUUCUGAAAUUAAAUUUAGUUAGUUUUGUGUUUGAGUACGAAAAUAGUACAAAAGAGUGGUGUUCUAAUAUAUUUUUGUGUUAGGAAAUUAGAAGUUAUUUCAUUUUAGUUGAAGCCCAUCCAAGUAGCAUUUUAUUGUGUCUGUAUCUACCUAGUAAUGUGAGUCAGUGUAUCGAUUUGCCAAUUCUUGAUCAGUAUAUAAAAAUUCUUGAGCUGACGUGAUGCCUGCAAUGCUUUUUUUGUCUCCGCUAUUUUCUUCCUUUAGUGUACAAACUGUUUUUAUUCCCAGUUUCUGGUUUCUGUGUGCAUAGUAGGUUCAGAAUCAAUUUCUAAAAACACAAACUUUGCCAUGUUUUCUCGCCAUCAUCCACCUCCUGGUCCUUGUUCGUAACCCCUCUCUGCCAAUUUGAGAGACUGUUCUGUACUUCCAGAGAAAUACAACUUAUUUAUUAGGUUUCUCAGUUUCUCGAAUAUGCAGUAUAGCUGCUAAUGCUUCUUUGUUUUGUUGUAUCAUUU
Long non-coding RNA from Triticum dicoccoides, 1920 nucleotides. RefSeq lists it as uncharacterized. The record is from RefSeq and is a predicted model, not a curated record. NCBI's taxonomy places the organism in Eukaryota, Viridiplantae, Streptophyta, Magnoliopsida, Poales, Poaceae. The transcript has 7 exons.